CUCGCCUGUUUAUCAAAAACAUAGCCCUAAGAAAAUAUUUAGGGUGAGCCCUGCCCGGUGACAAAUUAAUUUUUAACGGCCGCAGUACCUUGACUGUGCUAAGGUAGCGUAAUCAGUUGGCUUUUAAAUGGAGUCUUGUAUGAACGGGAACAUGGGGGAAAGCUGUCUCAAGUUUAGGAAUCGAAGUUGCUAAUAAGGUGAAAAUGCCUUAACUAAAUUAAAAGACGAGAAGACCCUUAGAGCUUUAAUAAAUUGAAUUAUUGUUCAAUACUUUUUUGUUGGGGCGACAAGGAGACAACGAACUCUCCCUUUUUUGUAGAACUUGCCGACUGAUUGUAAGAAAGAAUAAGCUACCUUAGGGAUAACAGCAUUAUUUUUUAUAAAGCUUAUGACCUCGAUGUUGGACUAGGGACUUUAUGACUAGCCGUCAGAUUAGCAUGUUCUGUUCGAACAAAUGACCCUACAUGAUCUGAGUUCAGACCGGAGC
This 487-nucleotide ribosomal RNA is filed under the name Salinator rhamphidia. RNAcentral's name for it is "partial 16S ribosomal RNA". It matches the Rfam family "Bacterial large subunit ribosomal RNA", at positions 1795 to 2622 of the family's 2925-position model. Lineage: Eukaryota; Metazoa; Mollusca; Gastropoda; Amphibolidae. The record is from RNAcentral.